Molecule: ribosomal RNA, 253 nt
Filed under: uncultured bacterium
Lineage: Bacteria
Description: partial 16S ribosomal RNA
Rfam family: Bacterial small subunit ribosomal RNA
Source: RNAcentral
UACGAAGGGUGCAAGCGUUAAUCGGAAUUACUGGGCGUAAAGCGCGCGUAGGUGGUUCAGUAAGUUGGAAGUGAAAUCCCCGGGCUCAACCUGGGAACUGCUUUCAAAACUGCUGAGCCAGAGUACGGUAGAGGGUGGUGGAAUUUCCUGUGUAGCGGUGAAAUGCGUAGAUAUAGGAAGGAACACCAGUGGCGAAGGCGACCACCUGGACUGAUACUGACACUGAGGUGCGAAAGCGUGGGGAGCGAACGGG